CCUACGGGAGGCAGCAGUGAGGAAUAUUGGUCAAUGGUCGCAAGACUGAACCAGCCAUGCCGCGUGCAGGAGGACGGCCCUCUGAGUUGUAAACUGCUUUUGUACGGGAGCAAAUGCCGAUACGCGUCUCUGUAUGAAUGUACCUUACGAAUAAGAAUCGGCUAACUCCGUGCCAGCAGCCGCGGUAAUACGGAGGGUUCGAGCGUUACCCGGAUUUAUUGGGUUUAAAGGGUGCGUAGGCGGUGUGUUAAGUUAGAGGGUAAAGCCCGGGGCUCAACUUCGGUAUGGCCGGUGAUACUGUAAGUCUAGAGUGUAAGAGAGGUAGGCAGAAUGUGUGGUGUAGCGGUGAAAUGCUUAGAGAUCAGGCAGAACACCGAUUGCGAAGGCAGCAUACCG
This 396-nucleotide ribosomal RNA is filed under the name uncultured bacterium. Its description in RNAcentral is "partial 16S ribosomal RNA". It matches the Rfam family "Bacterial small subunit ribosomal RNA", at positions 338 to 731 of the family's 1533-position model. The record is from RNAcentral.